CGGUCUGUAGCUCAGUUGGUAGAGCAGCUGACUCUUAAUCAGCGGGCCCGGGGUUCGAGCCCCCGCAGACCGA
This 73-nucleotide transfer RNA is filed under the name Bacteroidetes bacterium GWA2_42_15. Its description in RNAcentral is "tRNA-Lys". It matches the Rfam family "tRNA". From Rfam's summary of the family: Transfer RNA (tRNA) molecules are approximately 80 nucleotides in length. Their secondary structure includes four short double-helical elements and three loops (D, anti-codon, and T loops). Further hydrogen bonds mediate the characteristic L-shaped molecular structure. tRNAs have two regions of fundamental functional importance: the anti-codon, which is responsible for specific mRNA codon recognition, and the 3' end, to which the tRNAs corresponding amino acid is attached (by aminoacyl-tRNA synthetases). tRNAs cope with the degeneracy of the genetic code in two manners: having more than one tRNA (with a specific anti-codon) for a particular amino acid; and 'wobble' base-pairing, i.e. permitting non-standard base-pairing at the 3rd anti-codon position. RNAcentral also lists the same sequence under 6 other names. The record is from RNAcentral. Lineage: Bacteria; Pseudomonadati; Bacteroidota.